GAUGAAGAACGCAGCGAAAUGCGAUAAGUAGUGUGAAUUGCAGAAUUCAGUGAAUCAUCGAAUCUUUGAACGCACAUUGCGCCCCUUGGUAUUCCAUGGGGCAUGCCUGUUCGAGCGUCAUUUGUACCUUCAAGCUUUGCUUGGUGUUGGGUGUUUGUCUCGCCUUUGCGUGUAGACUCGCCUUAAAAUAAUUGGCAGCCGGCGUAUUGAUUUCGGAGCGCAGUACGUCUCGCGCUUUGCACUCAUAACGACAGCGUCCAAAAGUACAUUUUACACUCUUGACCUCGGAUCAGGUAGGGAUACCCGCUGAACUUAAGCAUAUCAAUAAGCGGAGGA
Molecule: unclassified non-coding RNA, 336 nt
Filed under: soil metagenome
Description: partial contains 5.8S ribosomal RNA, internal transcribed spacer 2, and large subunit ribosomal RNA
Rfam family: 5.8S ribosomal RNA (bases 1-120)
Source: RNAcentral